Molecule: transfer RNA, 82 nt
Filed under: Perkinsus olseni
Lineage: Eukaryota; Perkinsozoa; Perkinsida; Perkinsidae
Description: tRNA-Leu
Rfam family: tRNA
About the family: Transfer RNA (tRNA) molecules are approximately 80 nucleotides in length. Their secondary structure includes four short double-helical elements and three loops (D, anti-codon, and T loops). Further hydrogen bonds mediate the characteristic L-shaped molecular structure. tRNAs have two regions of fundamental functional importance: the anti-codon, which is responsible for specific mRNA codon recognition, and the 3' end, to which the tRNAs corresponding amino acid is attached (by aminoacyl-tRNA synthetases). tRNAs cope with the degeneracy of the genetic code in two manners: having more than one tRNA (with a specific anti-codon) for a particular amino acid; and 'wobble' base-pairing, i.e. permitting non-standard base-pairing at the 3rd anti-codon position.
Source: RNAcentral
GAGUGUUUGUCCGAGUGGUUGAGGGGAUGGACGUAAGAUCCACUGGUCACGGACCGCGUGGGUUCGAACCCCACAGUACUCA